UAACAGGAUUAGAUACCCUGGUAGUCCACGCCGUAAACGAUGUCUACUCGGAGUUUGGUGUCUUGAACACUGGGCUCUCAAGCUAACGCAUUAAGUAGACCGCCUGGGGAGUACGGCCGCAAGGUUAAAACUCAAAUGAAUUGACGGGGGCCCGCACAAGCGGUGGAGCAUGUGGUUUAAUUCGAUGCAACGCGAAGAACCUUACCUACUCUUGACAUCCAGAGAAUUCGCUAGAGAUAGCUUAGUGCCUUCGGGAACUCUGAGACAGGUGCUGCAUGGCUGUCGUCAGCUCGUGUUGUGAAAUGUUGGGUUAAGUCCCGCAACGAGCGCAACCCCUAUCCUUAUUUGCCAGCACGUAAUGGUGGGAACUCUAGGGAGACUGCCGGUGAUAAACCGGAGGAAGGUGGGGGCGACGUCAAGUCAUCAUGGCCCUUACGAGUAGGGCUACACACGUGCUACAAUGGCGAGUACAGAGGGUUGCAAAGCCGCGAGGUGGAGCUAAUCUCACAAAGCUCGUCGUAGUCCGGAUUGGAGUCUGCAACUCGACUCCAUGAAGUCGGAAUCGCUAGUAAUCGUGGAUCAGAAUGCCACGGUGAAUACGUUCCCGGGCCUUGUACACACCGCCCGUCACACCAUGGGAGUGGGCUGCAAAAGAAGUGGGUAGCUUAACCUUCGGGGGGGCGCUCACCACUUUGUGGUUCAUGACUGGGGUGAAGUCGUAACAAGGUAACCA
RNAcentral lists this ribosomal RNA (733 nucleotides) under uncultured bacterium. RNAcentral describes it as "bacterial SSU rRNA". It matches the Rfam family "Bacterial small subunit ribosomal RNA", at positions 770 to 1502 of the family's 1533-position model. The record is from RNAcentral.